This is a non-coding RNA of Myriangium duriaei CBS 260.36, 81 nucleotides long. Lineage: Eukaryota; Fungi; Ascomycota; Dothideomycetes; Myriangiales; Myriangiaceae. The record is from the annotation of a GenBank genome assembly.
GGAGCUGUGGCGCAAUGGUAGCGCGUCGGAUUCCAGUUUGGAAUCUCCCGAAGGUUGCCGGUUCAAUUCCGGUCAGCUUCA